CCUACGGGUGGCUGCAGUGGGGAAUAUUGGGCAAUGGGCGCAAGCCUGACCCAGCAACGCCGCGUGAAGGAAGAAGGCUUUCGGGUUGUAAACUUCUUUUAUCAGGGACGAAAAAAAUGACGGUACCUGAUGAAUAAGCCACGGCUAACUACGUGCCAGCAGCCGCGGUAAUACGUAGGUGGCAAGCGUUAUCCGGAUUUACUGGGUGUAAAGGGCGUGUAGGCGGGACAGCAAGUCAGGUGUGAAAUUCUAGGGCUCAACCCUGGAACUGCACUUGAAACUGUUGUUCUUGAGUGAUGGAGAGGCAGGCGGAAUUCCGAGUGUAGCGGUGAAAUGCGUAGAUAUUCGGAGGAACACCAGUGGCGAAGGCGGCCUGCUGGACAUUAACUGACGCUGAGGCGCGAAAGCGUGGGGAGCAAACAGGAUUAGAUACCCCAGUAGUC
This 443-nucleotide ribosomal RNA is filed under the name uncultured bacterium. Its description in RNAcentral is "partial 16S ribosomal RNA". It matches the Rfam family "Bacterial small subunit ribosomal RNA", at positions 338 to 795 of the family's 1533-position model. The record is from RNAcentral.